UCUCCGUAGGUGAACCAGCGGAAGGAUCAUUCAUAAUAUGCGAUUUAUGCCACUUUUUUAAAUCGAUAUCCACCUUGUGCGCAAUGUCAGGGUUGAUUUUUCUCUCAAGAGCAUCAGCCUCAAACAUCAACGAUAUCUUAACUCUUUGUUUGCAAAAUAUUUUAAAUAAAACAAUCCAAAAUACAACUUUUAACAACGGAUCUCUUGGCUCAC
Molecule: unclassified non-coding RNA, 213 nt
Filed under: plant metagenome
Description: partial contains small subunit ribosomal RNA, internal transcribed spacer 1, and 5.8S ribosomal RNA
Source: RNAcentral